Molecule: ribosomal RNA, 72 nt
Filed under: Mediterraneibacter gnavus
Lineage: Bacteria; Bacillati; Bacillota; Clostridia; Lachnospirales; Lachnospiraceae
Description: [Ruminococcus] gnavus partial 23S ribosomal RNA
Source: RNAcentral
UGGUUAUGCUAAUAAGAGCGUAUGGUGGAUGCCUUGGCACUAAGAGCCGAUGAAAGACGUGAUAAGCUGCGA